RNAcentral lists this ribosomal RNA (1636 nucleotides) under Escherichia coli. Its description in RNAcentral is "partial 23S ribosomal RNA". It matches the Rfam family "Bacterial large subunit ribosomal RNA", at positions 695 to 2314 of the family's 2925-position model. The record is from RNAcentral. Lineage: Bacteria; Pseudomonadati; Pseudomonadota; Gammaproteobacteria; Enterobacterales; Enterobacteriaceae.
UUAAGUUGCAGGGUAUAGACCCGAAACCCGGUGAUCUAGCCAUGGGCAGGUUGAAGGUUGGGUAACACUAACUGGAGGACCGAACCGACUAAUGUUGAAAAAUUAGCGGAUGACUUGUGGCUGGGGGUGAAAGGCCAAUCAAACCGGGAGAUAGCUGGUUCUCCCCGAAAGCUAUUUAGGUAGCGCCUCGUGAAUUCAUCUCCGGGGGUAGAGCACUGUUUCGGCAAGGGGGUCAUCCCGACUUACCAACCCGAUGCAAACUGCGAAUACCGGAGAAUGUUAUCACGGGAGACACACGGCGGGUGCUAACGUCCGUCGUGAAGAGGGAAACAACCCAGACCGCCAGCUAAGGUCCCAAAGUCAUGGUUAAGUGGGAAACGAUGUGGGAAGGCCCAGACAGCCAGGAUGUUGGCUUAGAAGCAGCCAUCAUUUAAAGAAAGCGUAAUAGCUCACUGGUCGAGUUGGCCUGCGCGGAAGAUGUAACGGGGCUAAACCAUGCACCGAAGCUGCGGCAGCGACACUGUGUGUUGUUGGGUAGGGGAGCGUUCUGUAAGCCUGUGAAGGUGUGCUGUGAGGCAUGCUGGAGGUAUCAGAAGUGCGAAUGCUGACAUAAGUAACGAUAAAGCGGGUGAAAAGCCCGCUCGCCGGAAGACCAAGGGUUCCUGUCCAACGUUAAUCGGGGCAGGGUGAGUCGACCCCUAAGGCGAGGCCGAAAGGCGUAGUCGAUGGGAAACAGGUUAAUAUUCCUGUACUUGGUGUUACUGCGAAGGGGGGACGGAGAAGGCUAUGUUGGCCGGGCGACGGUUGUCCCGGUUUAAGCGUGUAGGCUGGUUUUCCAGGCAAAUCCGGAAAAUCAAGGCUGAGGCGUGAUGACGAGGCACUACGGUGCUGAAGCAACAAAUGCCCUGCUUCCAGGAAAAGCCUCUAAGCAUCAGGUAACAUCAAAUCGUACCCCAAACCGACACAGGUGGUCAGGUAGAGAAUACCAAGGCGCUUGAGAGAACUCGGGUGAAGGAACUAGGCAAAAUGGUGCCGUAACUUCGGGAGAAGGCACGCUGAUAUGUAGGUGAAGUCCCUCGCGGAUGGAGCUGAAAUCAGUCGAAGAUACCAGCUGGCUGCAACUGUUUAUUAAAAACACAGCACUGUGCAAACACGAAAGUGGACGUAUACGGUGUGACGCCUGCCCGGUGCCGGAAGGUUAAUUGAUGGGGUCAGCGCAAGCGAAGCUCUUGAUCGAAGCCCCGGUAAACGGCGGCCGUAACUAUAACGGUCCUAAGGUAGCGAAAUUCCUUGUCGGGUAAGUUCCGACCUGCACGAAUGGCGUAAUGAUGGCCAGGCUGUCUCCACCCGAGACUCAGUGAAAUUGAACUCGCUGUGAAGAUGCAGUGUACCCGCGGCAAGACGGAAAGACCCCGUGAACCUUUACUAUAGCUUGACACUGAACAUUGAGCCUUGAUGUGUAGGAUAGGUGGGAGGCUUUGAAGUGUGGACGCCAGUCUGCAUGGAGCCGACCUUGAAAUACCACCCUUUAAUGUUUGAUGUUCUAACGUGGACCCGUGAUCCGGGUUGCGGACAGUGUCUGGUGGGUAGUUUGACUGGGGCGGUCUCCUCCUAAAGAGUAACGGAGGAGCACGAA